RNAcentral lists this long non-coding RNA (1503 nucleotides) under Physcomitrium patens. RNAcentral's name for it is "long non-coding RNA (PPAT_LNC008855)". The record is from RNAcentral. Lineage: Eukaryota; Viridiplantae; Streptophyta; Bryopsida; Funariales; Funariaceae.
GGGGAUGAGCAACGUCGAGAAAAUUCAGCUGGCUUUCAAGCAGAUCACCACUGCGUCCGACAACCUCCGCAAGGAAACGCAGUUGAUCAACAUCAUCAAUGCUCCGCUCCAGGGUUCCAAGAUUGCUGAGGGAUUCGCUAAAAUCAUCAGCGCCAUCGCCGAGUACACGAUCAAGAUUAACGAGGGUGGCGUCAAGAACGACAACAGUCCUCUGCCAGACGCGGACGCUAAGCUCGUCGUGCAAUCCCUGACGACCUUCGUGCAGGUGCACCAGGCAUUGCUCAAUGUGGUGAUCGGCAAGCACGGCCUCCUUACUUUGAUCCCGUUCUUCGAGCCCAUCAGGUUGUCGCUGGUGUCCCUGGAAGCAACCAUAGACGCCUUCGCGUUUGCCCUCAUCGCCGAAAUCCCCACCCAGAAGCCCGCCGCAGAUGUGCAAUUCGGGUCCCUCAGUAUAACUCUCCAGGUUGCCAUCACCACCUACUCGUCGCCCAUAUUGGAAUCGAACAACCUGCAGGAGAUGAACACUACUGAGAAAAUCGUGCUGGCGUUCAAGCAGAUCACCACUGCGUCCGACAACCUCCGCAAGGAAGUGCAGCUGAUCAACAUCAUCAAUGCUCCUCUCCAGGGCUUCAAGAUUGCUGAGGGAUUCGCUAAAAUCAUCAGCGCCAUCGCCGAGUACACGAUCAAGAUUAACGAGGGUGGCGUCAAGAACUACAACAGUCCUUUGCCAGACGCGGACGCCCAGAUCGUGGUGCAAUCCCUGACGACCUUCGUGCAAGUGCACCAGGCAUUGCUCAAUGUGGUGAUCGGCAAGCACGGCCUCCUUACUUUGAUCCCGUUCUUCGAGCCCAUCAGGUUGUCGCUGGUGUCCCUGGAAGCAACCAUAGACGCCUUCGCGUUUGCCCUCAUAGCCGAAAUCCCCACCCAGAAGCCCGCCGCAGAUGUGCAAUUCGGGUCCCUCAGUGUAACCCUCCAGGUUGCCAUCACCACCUACUCGUCGCCCAUAUUGGAAUCGAACAACCUGCAGGAGAUGAACACUACUGAGAAAAUCGUGCUGGCGUUCAAGCAGAUCACCACUGCGUCCGACAACCUCCGCAAGGAAGUGCAGCUGAUCAACAUCAUCAAUGCUCCUCUCCAGGGCUUCAAGAUUGCUGAGGGAUUCGCUAAAAUCAUCAGCGCCAUCGCCGAGUACACGAUCAAGAUUAACGAGGGUGGCGUCAAGAACUACAACAGUCCUUUGCCAGACGCGGACGCCCAGAUCGUGGUGCAAUCCCUGACGACCUUCGUGCAAGUGCACCAGGCAUUGCUCAAUGUGGUGAUCGGCAAGCACGGCCUCCUUACUUUGAUCCCGUUCUUCGAGCCCAUCAGGUUGUCGCUGGUGUCCCUGGAAGCAACCAUAGACGCCUUCGCGUUUGCCCUCAUAGCCGAAAUCCCCACCCAGAAGCCCGCCGCAGAUGUGCAAUUCGGGUCCCUCAGUGUAACUCUCCAGGUUGCCAUCACCAC